CUUUUCCAAAGGGAUGGAAUGUGCACAACUGCUUUCCUGCAGCACAGUGUGCACGUGGGGUGUGCCAGGGAAGUUUUUAAUUUUGGCAUUUUGCAAGAAUCUCUACAAAGAAAGGUUUUCAUCUGGAAAUACUUCUCUGCCUGUCUUUGUUUCCUUUUUUCAUUUUGGCCCUCAGGAAAAGAAGAAGCAAGAGCAAAAAAGGUGUUCUGUAUGGCUUUACCAUCAUCAACACCCAGCUUGGUGCAGUGACAGGGGAAAUCACCUUCCAUCAACCCUCCACCUCUCUCACCUCCGGUGGUUUGUUUACUCUGUUUUUACUAUCUUAUUAAAAGUCUAAAGAUUUUAAGAAGUCUAGAAGCAGUUAUAAGUGGUCAAGGUGUUUGGGAGUUCUGAGGGUUAUUUCAGACUACUCCUUGCCCUGCACUAAAAAGCUGAUUGCAGAUUUUGGCAGAAGAGUUCUGGGGACACAGAGGCAGAUUUUUUUCCCCAAGGAUUUAAAUUCUGGAAGAAAAGGACCCAUGAAGAGGUGGAAUUUUCUUCUACUGAUGAUCAGUGUCCUGGAGCCUGACCAUACAGGUCAGUGAAGGGUUUGUGCUGCCCUUGGAAGAGCA
This 611-nucleotide long non-coding RNA is filed under the name Zonotrichia albicollis (white-throated sparrow). RNAcentral describes it as "lncRNA (ENSZALG00000000931.1)". Lineage: Eukaryota; Metazoa; Chordata; Aves; Passeriformes; Passerellidae. The record is from RNAcentral.